CACUGAAAGGGUAGCUUCCCAGCACUAAGUGCGGACAAGAAGAUGAGGUGGGGAGCAGGAACCGUCACGAGGAGGAGGAGGAUUAAUUGGAGUGUCACCUCCUCACUGGGGUGUGAAAUCCUCAGAGGACAUCUCCACUCUGCAGGAAAAGGGCAAGGUUGGAGCGAGCAGCUGAGCACAACAUUGAGUUAAGCGCGGGCACCGAUCCCUGACAGGCCCAGCUCGUCCGGGGAGAGAGGGCAGCACGGAGGGCAAGGGAGGCGAAACUUCCCCGCCAGAGGCUGCAGGCUGAGAUCCACCUGCUCAUUAGGAUUCAGCAGAGGCAGGGUCUUUCUGUCUUGUGGAUGCCUGGUGAAAAGAGACACUACAGGAUCAUGUCUGGAUGCUCCAAAGGACUUUGCCACCCAUCUUCCAGCUCAGCUCAGCAUCUGACCUGGGUCAUAUCCUUGGCACCAGAGGGACAGCAGAUAGGCAAGUUGAGAGAGUGACCAAAAGCAACUGGGGAAGAAAUGCUUCAAGGUUACAAUCUAAAGUCAAGAGAAGUGGAAGCAAGGACCUGGAGGUAAAAACUGAAGCAGAGAUGGUGGAGGAAUGGUGCUAACUUGGCUUGCUUCCAGGCUGGCAGCAGAUCCCUUUCUUAUACAACCCAGGCCCGCCUGCUUAUACAGUGGGCUGUGCCCUCCCACACCAAUUAGCAAUCAAGAACAUGCACACAAACACGCACAGAACUGUCAGUGUGACAGAGCUGGUUUCUCAGUUGAUUUUCAAGUGUGUCUAGUGGACCAACUGAAGCUAACUAUGACAAUGAUCAAAUGCAGUGAAGACCAUGUUUGAAGAAUGGAGGAAACGGAUGCUAGCAUUAUCUCAGCAGAAAAUUUAGGAGAAACCCACAGGUUGGCUGAGAUCAGCGAGGGCUGAAGGGCUGAGUGAAAGCAGCACCAGCAUGUACGUUGUCAGGUCUGGAAUUCUCUGGGGGCCUCUUGUUCAGUUGCAUUGUGAGUUCACAGUUUAGGGGUCUGUCCUGGGUGCCUAGAUGAGCUGUGAGUUUCCCGGAAUGACCCUCAGUUUAUGCUCAACUGUCAGACGCAGCCAUCGCCACACUCCAGUGAUCACAGAAAAGUGUCAUGUACUUGCCCUGAGGUCAUCUCUGCGACCCCUGAUAUGCCUAUCAGUGGAAGCCUUUGAGACACGGGAGGGCAGUUUUCUCCCUGCUUGACUGACGGACAACUGACAGUGUCACUCUGUCCAUCCAUGGCUUUUGUCCCUGCUCAUCAGUUCACACAUACCCUGCAGACCCACUGAGUAAUGAUCAUCCAUCUCUGUGGUCCCAGGGGGCCAUUGCAGUGCUCCUUGGGCUUUUCUGCUUGCCCAGUUAAACAUCUGUCACUUCCCCGACUGCACGGGCAGUGGCUCUUCUCUCUUCCAUCACCUGUUAUUGGACAGUAAAGGCAACUCAAUUUUAUGCAGACAAAUAGAGUUUAGUGAUAAUGUGCCUCGUGACCUUUGAAGUGACAAGAUAACAUUAGUUUUUAGGGAUCCCACCUUCUUUGGCUGUCGCUGAGAGCCUGUGUCUGGCUGAGAGUAGGGACCCCUCUUUGAGAGUACAAUGGCAGUUUAACAUGCUGCCUCAAAAAUGUAAGGCGCUUCUCUCUUUGGUUUUUUUUUUUCUACCAGCCUGACAGUUUUUCAAACAUAUUCACUGUCAGCCCUAACAACCUGUCAACAAAUGCCAUUAUGUGAAAAUUUCCAAGACUCGUUUGAGGACUGCAAAAAGUGACAGACAUGCCACACGGAUAAGUUCCCCAGAAAGCCAGGGUUGAAACUUUUGAAAGACACUCUGGCCCAUCCAAGAGAGGGAAAAAAAAAAAAAAAAAAAAAAAAAAAAAAAAAAAAAAAGAACAGUCAGAUCUCUGGGAUAACAAAACAACCCACAAGAAUUCACCUGUCAUAUCAGAUAUCUGUUUCUUUCCUGGGCAAAUUAAGGUGUAUGGAAAGAAUGAAACAUACCAGUGACACAAGCUUCUGAAAUUCGAAGUUGUGCCCCAUCCACACUCUCACCUGUAAGACUAGGAAACGAACAGGAAAACAUUUUCCCUUCCUCUAGAGAAUGCAAGGGAAACCUACUUCAUGUCUGGUUCAAUGUUUUGGGGAUGGAAGCAGAGAAGAAAGAGUUUAGGUGAAGCCAACUGAAGCCAACAGUGAUUCUGACACAUUUAAAAAGGAGGGUUUGUCUGUGCAAUGCUGGACUGUGUAGCCAGGACGGUGGGGACACAGGGAGAAUGUGGCAACAUAGUUUGGGAAUGAGAGAUCUGAACUUGACCCCGACUCUGCCCUGUCAUUAUCAGCUGUCCCCGGGCAUUUUGCAGCAACCGUUUCUGCUUCUGGUGGAGGAUAACACCUGCCCUGGUGUGAUCCUGGAGGUUAAGUGAAAGGCUCUUGGCUGAAGACUUCCGUGGAGUCACAUGACUCCACAAUGCAGCAUGACUUGGAGAGAGAAAAAUGCUCUUGAACCCGAAGGCACCGUAUUUUAAUUUUAGAUGGAUUUUAUUCCCAAGAUUUUGCUCUAUCCAAAUUCAACUUGCAUGGAAUAUUUUAAGUGACGCAGCAGAUUAAAGACUUCUUUGGUCCUGCUCUGAAGAAUGGCAGUGGAAAAGGGAAGUGGCAGAGAUGAGAGAGGAAGCGACUUGUGCACAGAGCCUCCAGGAUACACAGCACCUGGCCAUUUGGAUAUUACACUGAGAUUGGUUAUAGGUUGUCAAGCUUUUCUUGGGCUUUCUCCAGAGCUUUGUGACUAGUUUGCCUUCAUACAUCACUCUUCCUAGGUGUCCUGAGUAUCUCCAGAGGAGGAUUCAUACAGGAAUGUUGGUAUCAUUGGCUCACUGACUUAUGUCUAUUCAAGCUCUCCUAAAAUUUUCAGUUAGUUCAACUUUUGGGCUGCCAGGUCAGUCUCUGCAUUGUCCUGUUUUAGCAGGAAACCUACUGUGCCAAUUUGAACAGAAUUUCCACCCAGAUCUAGGUAGUUUACAGAAAUUACAAAAAUCUUUACAGUGUGCUGUACAUUAUAACACCUAGUAUCCCUA
Long non-coding RNA from Meriones unguiculatus (Mongolian gerbil), 3080 nucleotides. RefSeq lists it as uncharacterized. NCBI's taxonomy places the organism in Eukaryota, Metazoa, Chordata, Mammalia, Rodentia, Muridae. The transcript is spliced from 3 exons. The record is from RefSeq and is a predicted model, not a curated record.